CUGAGCUACCCUUGGAGUCGGGUUGUUUGUGAAUGCAGCCCAAAGUGGGUGGUAGACUCCAUCCAAGGCUAAAUACUUACACGAGUCCGAUAGCAAACAAGUACCGUGAGGGAAAGUUGAAAAGUACUUUGAAGAGAGAGUAAACAGUGCGUGAAACCGUUCAAAGGUAACGGGUGGAGUUGAACUGCAAGCUCUGGGAAUUCAGCUGAUGAGUGUGAUUUGUGCUUGGCAUACUGGCCGCCUUCAGUGUCUGUUUAACCGCAGGUGCCUGCUUUUUGGUGGGUAUGUGUGAUUCGUUUGUAUACGACGCACGCACUGUUGGUGUGAGGGUCUGCUU
RNAcentral lists this ribosomal RNA (337 nucleotides) under Schistosoma incognitum. Its description in RNAcentral is "partial large subunit ribosomal RNA". It matches the Rfam family "Eukaryotic large subunit ribosomal RNA", at positions 248 to 601 of the family's 3401-position model. The record is from RNAcentral. Lineage: Eukaryota; Metazoa; Platyhelminthes; Trematoda; Strigeidida; Schistosomatidae.